UUUAUGGAGAGUUUGAUCCUGGCUCAGGACGAACGCUGGCGGCGUGCCUAAUACAUGCAAGUCGAGCGGAUCUUAAGGAGCUUGCUCCUAAAGGUUAGCGGCGGACGGGUGAGUAACACGUGGGCAACCUGCCCUAUAGUUGGGGAUAACUCCGGGAAACCGGAGCUAAUA
This 171-nucleotide ribosomal RNA is filed under the name Ureibacillus antri. Its description in RNAcentral is "Lysinibacillus sp. SYSU K30002 partial 16S ribosomal RNA". It matches the Rfam family "Bacterial small subunit ribosomal RNA", at positions 1 to 168 of the family's 1533-position model. Lineage: Bacteria; Bacillati; Bacillota; Bacilli; Caryophanales; Caryophanaceae. The record is from RNAcentral.